UCUUCCCUCUGGCGGCGUGCCUAAUACAUGCAAGUCGAGCGAACAGAUGAGGAGCUUGCUCCUCUGACGUUAGCGGCGGACGGGUGAGUAACACGUGGAUAACCUACCUAUAAGACUGGGAUAACUUCGGGAAACCGGAGCUAAUACCGGAUAAUAUAUUGAACCGCAUGGUUCAAUAGUGAAAGACGGUUUUGCUGUCACUUAUAGAUGGAUCCGCGCCGCAUUAGCUAGUUGGUAAGGUAACGGCUUACCAAGGCAACGAUGCGUAGCCGACCUGAGAGGGUGAUCGGCCACACUGGAACUGAGACACGGUCCAGACUCCUACGGGAGGCAGCAGUAGGGAAUCUUCCGCAAUGGGCGAAAGCCUGACGGAGCAACGCCGCGUGAGUGAUGAAGGUCUUCGGAUCGUAAAACUCUGUUAUUAGGGAAGAACAAAUGUGUAAGUAACUAUGCACGUCUUGACGGUACCUAAUCAGAAAGCCACGGCUAACUACGUG
RNAcentral lists this ribosomal RNA (497 nucleotides) under uncultured bacterium. Its description in RNAcentral is "partial 16S ribosomal RNA". It matches the Rfam family "Bacterial small subunit ribosomal RNA", at positions 36 to 507 of the family's 1533-position model. The record is from RNAcentral.